CCUACGGGAGGCAGCAGUGAGGAAUAUUGGUCAAUGGGCGCGAGCCUGAACCAGCCAAGUAGCGUGAAGGAUGACUGCCCUACGGGUUGUAAACUUCUUUUAUAAAGGAGUAACGUGAGGCACUAGUGCCUUUUUGUAUGUACUUUAUGAAUAAGGAUCGGCUAACUCCGUGCCAGCAGCCGCGGUAAUACGGAGGAUCCGAGCGUUAUCCGGAUUUAUUGGGUUUAAAGGGAGCGUAGAUGGGUUGUUAAGUCAGUUGUGAAAGUUUCCGGCUCAACCGUAAAAUUGCAAUUGAUACUGGCAGCCUUGAGUACUGUAGAGGUAGGCGGAAUUCGUGGUGUAGCGGUGAAAUGCUUAGAUAUCACGAAGAACUCCGAUUGCGAAGGCAGCUUACUAAACUGCCACUGACAUUGAUGCGCGAAAGUGUGGGUAGCAAACAGGAUUAGAUACCCGAGUAGUC
RNAcentral lists this ribosomal RNA (460 nucleotides) under uncultured bacterium. RNAcentral describes it as "partial 16S ribosomal RNA". It matches the Rfam family "Bacterial small subunit ribosomal RNA", at positions 338 to 795 of the family's 1533-position model. The record is from RNAcentral.